RNAcentral lists this ribosomal RNA (216 nucleotides) under Glomeromycotina sp. Its description in RNAcentral is "partial small subunit ribosomal RNA". The stretch from base 40 to 216 matches the Rfam family "Eukaryotic small subunit ribosomal RNA", at positions 686 to 864 of the family's 1831-position model. The record is from RNAcentral. Lineage: Eukaryota; Fungi; Glomeromycota.
GGGUCAGUAGGUUGGUCGUGCCACCGGUACGUACUGGUCUCACUGAUUCCUCCUUCCUGAAGAACCGUAAUGCCAUUAAUUUGGUGUUGCGGGGAAACAGGACUGUUACUUUGAAAAAAUUAGAGUGUUUAAAGCAAGCUAACGAUUGAAUACAUUAGCAUGGAAUAAUGAAAUAGGACGAUCGAUCCUAUUUUGUUUGUUUCUAGGAUUGACGUA